AUUCCGGUUGAUCCUGCCGGAGGCCAUUGCUAUCGGAGUCCGAUUUAGCCAUGCUAGUCGCACGAGUUUAGACUCGUGGCGAAAAGCUCAGUGACACGUGGCCAAACUACCCUAUGGACGGAACUAACCUCGGGAAACUGAGGCUAAUGUCCGAUACGGCUCUCACGCUGGAACGCCGAGAGCCGGAAACGCCCCGGCGCCAUAGGAUGUGGCUGCGGCCGAUUAGGUUGACGGUGGGGUAACGGCCCACCGUGCCAAUAAUCGGUAUGGGUCAUGAGAGUGAGAACCCAGAGACGGUAUCUGAGACAAGAUACCGGGCCCUACGGGGCGCAGCAGGCGCGAAACCUUUACACUGCACGACAGUGCGAUAGGGGGAUUCCGAGUGCGAGGGCAUACAGUCCUCGCUUUUCUGUACCGUAAGGUGGUACAGGAAUAAGGGCUGGGCAAGACCGGUGCCAGCCGCCGCGGUAAUACCGGCAGCCCGAGUGAUGGCCGAUCUUAUUGGGCCUAAAGCGUCCGUAGCU
RNAcentral lists this ribosomal RNA (524 nucleotides) under uncultured haloarchaeon. RNAcentral's name for it is "bacterial SSU rRNA". It matches the Rfam family "Archaeal small subunit ribosomal RNA", at positions 1 to 526 of the family's 1478-position model. Lineage: Archaea; Methanobacteriati; Methanobacteriota; Halobacteria; Halobacteriales; Halobacteriaceae. The record is from RNAcentral.